Oryzias melastigma (Indian medaka) is the source of this 858-nucleotide long non-coding RNA. RefSeq lists it as uncharacterized. The record is from RefSeq and is a predicted model, not a curated record. NCBI's taxonomy places the organism in Eukaryota, Metazoa, Chordata, Actinopteri, Beloniformes, Adrianichthyidae. The transcript is spliced from 2 exons.
CACUUUUUAGUGUUUCUUUUGCUCAAACUCGUCAGUUCUACUUUGUGAGCACUGAGCUGAACUGGACAGACGCUCAGAGUUUCUGCAGACGUGAAUACUCUGAUCUGGCCACCAUAGAGAACACAGUUGAUGUUGAUGCUGUUCUGAAUACCACAUCAGAUUGCACAGGCAAGGUUUGGAUUGGUCUACACGAUGACUUGGAGAACAGCUGGAAGUGGUCCUUAAAUGACAGCAGCUUCUAUGUGGAAGGAGAGCAAACCUUCAAGAACUGGCAGUUAAACCAACCUGACAAUCUGAAUGGACAACAGUACUGUGUCGCAUUACAAAGUGGAAACUCAUCCCGAGACAACUGGGAUGAUCGCGAGUGCAGUGAAGAACAUGAAUUUGUGUGCUACAAUGGUAAGGGUUUUUAAACAUUUGUCCAUAUUCUCCAAAAGGUUUAUAUAACAUUGAAAACUCACAAUGUUCAUCACAAAUUGUGACUUUAUAGUAAUGCACACUUUCUGUUAAACUAAGUUCCGUGUAAUUGUCUUAAGUUUUCCAAAGAAUGUAACACAAAAACAACAGGAAAGAUCAAACCAAGAAACAUCUUCCAUGGUUGUUUUGGUCCUCAUUAGUCCACACUGUUUCUAAUUUCUUUGGCUACAUUUAAAUAAUAGUCAAUGCAUGUGACCAACAGUACAUCAACAUUACAUUAAAAGACUUUGGUGUAGCAUUGAGCAGGCAGUUGUUGACGGUUCAAAGGAAAACUACCUCACUGAAAGUUCAUUCAAAUAAAAGCCCUGUCUUUCAGAUUGACUAUCAGCUUUGACCUCUUGUCUUAUUAUGUGAUUUUUUUUUUUUUUUUUUUAAUGAAAA